GACGUAGGGUCCAAGCGUUGUCCGGAUUUACUGGGCGUAAAGAGCGCGUAGGCGGCUCGUUAAGUGUGAAGUGAAAUCUCCAGGGCUCAACCCGGAAACUGCUUUACAUACUGGCGAGCUAGAGUGAUGAAGAGGUUUGUGGAAUUCCUGGUGUAACGGUGAAAUGUGUUGAUAUCAGGAGGAACACCCAUGGCGAAGGCAGCAAACUGGUCAUCAACUGACGCUGAGGCGCGAAAGCGUGGGUAGCAAACAGG
RNAcentral lists this ribosomal RNA (254 nucleotides) under uncultured bacterium. RNAcentral's name for it is "partial 16S ribosomal RNA". It matches the Rfam family "Bacterial small subunit ribosomal RNA", at positions 524 to 776 of the family's 1533-position model. The record is from RNAcentral.